This is an RNA transcript of Glycine soja, 2500 nucleotides long. It is a transcript of the gene named chloroplast envelope membrane protein-like, with no coding region annotated. The transcript is spliced from 9 exons. The record is from RefSeq and is a predicted model, not a curated record. NCBI's taxonomy places the organism in Eukaryota, Viridiplantae, Streptophyta, Magnoliopsida, Fabales, Fabaceae.
AGAAUGUGCUGGGGACGUAUAAGAGAGGCAAAAAGGCGUGACAUGAGGAAUGGAAUGGAUAAUAUGAAUUGAAGAGGCCGAACUGUGCAGAAGCAGAAUGUGCAUUCACUCGGGGAACUGAAAAAUGUGGGUAUAUAUUCAUGAUCUUGAUGAGCUCUUCAAUUGUUUUAUGCGACAACUUAAUCCUCUUUAAUCAGAAGCUGUUUUUGAAGUCUUUCGUCUCGCGUGGUUCAUCCAACUUUGUGAUUCAGUUAAGCAGCAAAACGAGGCGUCUUAACGGGUUCAUUUCAAAAGCGGAAAAGCAUAGUGGCCAUUCAAGGAAAAGCAGUUGGUGGCAGAAAUUCUUUUUCGAAGAUGAUGGGAAUUGGCUUGGUUUGAGAGACGAUGAUAUGGUAGAGGCUGAGGCUGAGGCUGAGGGCGAGGGUGAGAGCACACAAGAGUUAUCUGAGGGCGACAAGUUUGAGGCAUGGAAGCAGAGAGCUGAAGCAAUUGUGGAGCUAAGGGAAGCCCAAGAAGAUGGGAGGAACCAAGCCUAUAGGAAAUGGGAAGACUGGCUUUUGGAUGGGGAUGGGACUAAUGGGGAGGAUAACACUUCUUCUUGGGAGCAGGAGAUGAGGGACUAUAGGGAGAAUGUGCGAGCUGAUUCCGGUGAUGUUCCCGCGGAAAAGGGGAUCGUAGAGUCCGCUAGGUAUUUGAUUUUCGGAAGGGAAGAUGAUGACAUGCUUUAUGAAGACCGUGUUUUCCAGUACGCCUCAUCAAAUUCGGCUAAAUUUUUGGCAGUGUUGAUUAUUGUACCUUGGGCAAUGGACUUUCUGGUUCAUGACUAUAUACUUAUGCCAUUUUUAGACAGAUAUGUGAAGACUGUACCACUUGCAGCACAAAUGCUUGAUGUGAGAAGAUAUCAAAAACUUCAAAUAAUUGAGGAAUUAAGAACUGAGAGGGGACGAUUUGAGCUUGAGGUUGAGAUUGGUAAAUCUCCACCUCUUUCUGAUGAUGAGGUUUGGUGGGAAUUAAGGCAUAAAGCAUUAGAGUUGAGAGAAGAGUGGAGACUGGAAAAUCGCAGAGCAUUUGCCAACAUAUGGUCAGAUACAGUUUACGGGAUCUCUUUAUUUAUUAUUUUAUACUUCAAUAAGAGUAAAGUAGCUUUGCUCAAAUUUACAGGUUAUAAAAUUAUCAAUAACAUUUCAGAUACUGGGAAGGCUUUUCUAAUUAUACUGAUCACAGAUAUAUUCUUAGGGUAUCAUUCUGAAUCUGGUUGGCAAACUUUGCUAGAGAUAAUUGUUGAGCACUAUGGACUUGAAGUUGAUCAGUCUGCUAUAACUAUUUUUAUCUGUCUGAUCCCAGUUGUCAUCGAUGCAUGCGUGAAACUUUGGCUGUUUAAAUUCCUCCCACGUUUAUCCCCAAGGGUGACAAAUAUAUUUCGGGAAAUGAAACGUCACUAGUUGGCAAUUCAUAGCCAGCAUAGUCGAUUAUAUUGCCAGUCUUAGGACCUUCAUCUCAGUACUCCAUAAAAAAUUACGUGAACUUGUCUGCUACUUCGCAAUUCGCGUGUGUUUAGUCACUUGGACAUAUGCAGCUGGCAUGCAACUGCUGUGGGAUAUACCGCCAAGAGUCGCAUGUCAAGCACAACGUUACCGUGUACACCCUUUUGAUGAGCUAGUGUGUAUUUAGGGACCUCAUCCAUUAUUGUAGGUAUUCUUUUUAUUUAUUGAGAAGACUUAAUCUCACUUUUAAUCUAUUAUAUUUGUCAUCUGUUUUGUUUUGAUAUAUUAAAUUUUAAAAGUUUUAUUCUAACACUUUACAUUUUUAAAGUAUUUCAUUUUGAUCAUUUCUUUUAAUUUUCAUUAACAAACGUUAGUAUGUCGUUAACAUUUAGAUUUUAAAAUAGUUAAUUAACAUUAGUACAAUAACGACUACAAACUCUUACUAUCUUUAUUUUAUUUAAAAAAAUCAUCUUUUCCUCCAAUCUCUUUUCUCAUAUUUGAGUUUUUUAGAUUUGAUAGUAGAUCUAUCUGGAUGGGUUUGGGGUCGUCGGGUUGGAAGAAAGAAAUAAAGAAAAGGGAGGGAGAGAAAGAAAGAGAAAAAGGAAGAAAAAAUUUUAUGGUGCAAUGGUUGCUUUGAUUGAUGUCGUGAUGGCUAUGAUGGUGGAGUUAUCUCACACCUCUGACAAUGAACUUUGAUUUUGGUUUUAGGGUUUUACUGUUACUUAUGUUACUUAUUUUUCUAAUGAUUGAUGAAUAUUUAUUGUUCUAGGAUUGUGAUGAAUUCUUGUGUGGUAUGAUGUUUAUCUUCAUAUAGUCCUCGGAGUAACAUGACAUUACUAAACAUACGGUAUGCAGCGACUCGUUUGGUGGGAUAAGGAUAUUUUUGUGUAAUAUUAUCACUCUUGUAUAAUGUUGGGAUACUAUUGGUUUGGUGUUGAAGUAGAUGAACAAGGGAGGUUUUCUUGUUGUGGUUUAUAAUUUUUGAAAUAAAAUAACAUAAUGACGAUUUUUAAUGA